GCGCAGCUCCUUCUCAGAACGGCCCACCUUGGGGAUAAACUUAAGUGCCACGACCUACAACGGACCAAAACAAAAUGGAUGCGCAAUGAAAGGGAGCACUACAAGCUAUAAAUGACAGACAACGCUGAUGUUAACGUACAGCAGAAAGCUGGUAGACCCUGCCAGCCCUAAACCUCAGGUUGAUCUCCAGAUGGGGCACAGAACAGAGUGCGCCCAGCCAGCCACCAUCUCCCCGCCACCCUCCAGAAACUCUGUAUUGAAACAUGACUCAUGCUUGACAUUUGCCAUUUAUAAUAACAGUUGUCCAAAGUUGACCCAUAAUAACCUGUGCUACUUAGGUCAGGGCAUCCACUGUAUUGUAGAGGUCGAUUCAGUAGGGUUUGAGUACACAGAGGUAUCAUAUUGAGUGACAUUUGUAUUAAGCGAUAUGUAAGUGGGAUCCACAGGGUCUGAGUAUUCUUGUAGUGAGGAGGGGAGAUGAUGGGUGUCCAAAGGAUUAAUUUUCUCUGGUGUGCAGGCCGGAGUCCAAGUCUCUAAUGAGGACCAGGAGGCCUGCAACAAAACAUGAAAAGAUGAUGUUCAAGAGAAUAUGCAUCCAAUUCUACCCUUUUCAUGCACAAGACACGGUCAAUUGCGAAAAUGAAUCAAUUACAAAAAGGGCCGCAUCAGAAGCCUCUGUACCUUUUUAGACUGUAGAAUUCUGCUCCUCAUAGAAUGUUCGGGAUUGUAUCCACGACAACAAUAAACCUUACAUAUUGA
Molecule: long non-coding RNA, 759 nt
Organism: Oncorhynchus keta (chum salmon)
Lineage: Eukaryota; Metazoa; Chordata; Actinopteri; Salmoniformes; Salmonidae
Exons: 2
Source: RefSeq, a predicted model, not a curated record